AGAGUUUGAUCAUGGCUCAGGAUGAACGCUAGCUACAGGCUUAACACAUGCAAGUCGAGGGAAACGAUAUUGAAAGCUUGCUUUCUUUAGGCGUCGACCGGCGAAUGGGUGAGUAACGCGUAUCCAACCUGCCCCUGAGUAGGGGAUAGCCCAUCGAAAGAUGGAUUAAUGCCCUAUGGUUUCCUUUGAAGGCAUCUGAUUAGGAAUAAAGAUUUAUCGCUGAGGGAUGGGGAUGCGUCUGAUUAGCUUGUUGGCGGGGUAACGGCCCACCAAGGCGACGAUCAGUAGGGGUUCUGAGAGGAAGGUCCCCCACAUUGGUACUGAGACACGGACCAAACUCCUACGGGAGGCAGCAGUGAGGAAUAUUGGUCAAUGGGCGCAAGCCUGAACCAGCCAAGUAGCGUGCAGGAAGACUGCCCUAUGGGUUGUAAACUGCUUUUAUACGGGGAUAAAGUCAGAGUCGUGACUCUGUUUGCAGGUACCGUAUGAAUAAGGACCGGCUAAUUCCGUGCCAGCAGCCGCGGUAAUACGGAAGGUCCAGGCGUUAUCCGGAUUUAUUGGGUUUAAAGGGAGCGUAGGCCGGAGAUUAAGUGUGUUGUGAAAUUUAGGCGCUCAACGUCUGCACUGCAGCGCAUACUGGUUUUCCUUGAGUACACGCAACGUUGGCGGAAUUCGUCGUGUAGCGUGAAAUGCUUAGAUAUGACGAAGAACUCCGAUUGCGAAGGGCAGCUGACGGGGAGU
RNAcentral lists this ribosomal RNA (741 nucleotides) under uncultured bacterium. RNAcentral's name for it is "bacterial SSU rRNA". It matches the Rfam family "Bacterial small subunit ribosomal RNA", at positions 8 to 735 of the family's 1533-position model. The record is from RNAcentral.